UGGUAGUNCACGCCGUAAACGAUGAGUGCUAGGUGUUAGACCCUUUCCGGGGUUUAGUGCCGCAGCUAACGCAUUAAGCACUCCGCCUGGGGAGUACGACCGCAAGGUUGAAACUCAAAGGAAUUGACGGGGGCCCGCACAAGCGGUGGAGCAUGUGGUUUAAUUCGAAGCAACGCGAAGAACCUUACCAGGUCUUGACAUCCCUCUGACCGCUCUAGAGAUAGAGUUUUCCUUCGGGACAGAGGUGACAGGUGGUGCAUGGUUGUCGUCAGCUCGUGUCGUGAGAUGUUGGGUUAAGUNNNNNAACGAGCGCAACCCCUAUUGUUAGUUGCCAUCAUUUAGUUGGGCACUCUAGCGAGACUGCCGGUAAUAAACCGGAGGAAGGUGGGGAUGACGUCAAAUCAUCAUGCCCCUUAUGACCUGGGCUACACACGUGCUACAAUGGCUGGUACAACGAGUCGCAAGCCGGUGACGGCAAGCUAAUCUCUUAAGGCCAGUCUCAGUUCGGAUUGUAGGCUGC
This 520-nucleotide ribosomal RNA is filed under the name uncultured bacterium. RNAcentral's name for it is "bacterial SSU rRNA". It matches the Rfam family "Bacterial small subunit ribosomal RNA", at positions 788 to 1308 of the family's 1533-position model. The record is from RNAcentral.